RNAcentral lists this ribosomal RNA (574 nucleotides) under uncultured Thermoanaerobacteraceae bacterium. Its description in RNAcentral is "bacterial SSU rRNA". It matches the Rfam family "Bacterial small subunit ribosomal RNA", at positions 965 to 1532 of the family's 1533-position model. Lineage: Bacteria; Bacillati; Bacillota; Clostridia; Thermoanaerobacterales; Thermoanaerobacteraceae. The record is from RNAcentral.
AGAACCUUACCAGGGCUUGACAUCCCGCGAACCCUGUGGAAACACGGGGGUGGCCCCUUUGGGGAACGCGGAGACAGGUGGUGCAUGGUUGUCGUCAGCUCGUGUCGUGAGAUGUUGGGUUAAGUCCCGCAACGAGCGCAACCCCUGCGCUGUGUUGCCAGCACUUCGGGUGGGCACUCACAGCGGACUGCCGGUGAAAAACCGGAGGAAGGUGGGAACGACGUCAAAUCAUCAUGCCCCUUAUGUCCUGGGCUACACACGUGCUACAAUGGCCGGUACAGACGGAAGCGACCCCGCGAGGGCAAGCGGAUCCGUUAAAGCCGGUCUCAGUUCGGAUUGCAGGACUGCAACUCGCCUGCAUGAAGGCGGAAUCGCUAGUAAUCGCAGGUCAGCAUACUGCGGUGAAUACGUUCCCGGGCCUUGUACACACCGCCCGUCACACCACGAAAGCUCGGAACACCCGAAGCCGGUGGCCUAACCCGCAAGGGAGGGAGCCGUCGAAGGUGGGCCGGGUGAUUGGGGUGAAGUCGUAACAAGGUAGCCGUAUCGGAAGGUGCGGCUGGAUCACCUCCUU